This 367-nucleotide ribosomal RNA is filed under the name uncultured eukaryote. RNAcentral's name for it is "partial 18S ribosomal RNA". It matches the Rfam family "Eukaryotic small subunit ribosomal RNA", at positions 592 to 975 of the family's 1831-position model. The record is from RNAcentral.
CAAUAGCGUAUAUUAAAGUUGUUGCAGUUAAAAAGCUCGUAGUUGAAUUUCUGUACAUUCUCAGUUCUGGCUUCGGUCAAGCUGUGGAGUGUGCAUCCGCUUGCAAACCUAGCCCGGCCUUUACUGGUCGACUAGGGGAGUAAGCCCUUUACUUUGAAAAAAUUAGAGUGUUUCAGGCAGGCAAUUGCUCGAAUACAUUAGCAUGGAAUAAUGGAAUAGGACUUUUGUCCAUUUGGUUGGUUAUUGGACAUUAGUAAUGAUUAAAAGGGACAGUUGGGGGCAUUAGUAUUUAAUUGUCAGAGGUAAAAUUCUUGGAUCAAUUAAAGACUAACUUAUGCGAAAGCAUUUGCCAAGGAUGUUUUCAUUA